Molecule: long non-coding RNA, 1628 nt
Filed under: Marmota monax (woodchuck)
Lineage: Eukaryota; Metazoa; Chordata; Mammalia; Rodentia; Sciuridae
Source: RNAcentral
AUGCUUGGAGAGUGGGAGUAACAACAGUAACCUCCUAGUGAGGCUGCGGCAGGGGGCUGGUGUGCUGGGUUACAACUCCCUCCUCUCUACUGCGGGUUCAGUGCGCUGGCUGGAAGGGACCCCAGGGAGGCUGGGUUUCUUUUUUUUUCUUUUUUUUAGAAUUUCAAUAUUUAUAUUUUAGUUUUUGGCGGACACAACAUCUUUGUUUGUAUGUGGUGCUGAGGAUCGAACCUGGGCCGCACGCAUGCCAGGCGAGCGCGCUACCGCUUGAGCCACAUCCCCAGCCCUGGGAGGCUGGGUUUCAACAGGUGCUUCCAGGAUCACCAGACAGGAGAAAGGGAUGCCAGAGCCAGGGCUCCUCUUAGGACUUUCUGCUAUUUACGUAUCAUUGGUCAAAAUGGUCAUACGGCCACCCUGAUCUCAAAAAGCGAAAGCAUGCAAUACUACCUUGGGCCUAAAUGGGAAGAAAGUAAAUACUUGGUGAACAGCACUAGCCUGGUUAGCAAUUAUAAUUCAAUUUUAAAAGUGGGUAGAGGAACCAAUUAAAAAAAAAAUUUAGGCUGUGGCUGUGGCUCUGCAGUAGCACACUUACCUGGCAUGUGUGAGGCACUGGGUUUGAUUCUCAGCACCACAUAAAAAUAAAUAAAUAAAACAAAGGUCUUUCAACAACUAAAAAAAUUUAAAAAAUAAAAAUGAAAAAUGGAGAAAGAAAUGGAUUUGAAUUUUUAAAAAAUGUUUAUUUUUUAGUUGUACACAAUAGUUUUAUUUUGUUUAUUCAUUUUUAUGUGGUGCUGAGGAUGGAACCCAGGGCCUUGCAUGUGCCAGGUGAGCACUCUACCACUGAGCCACAACCCCAUUCAUGGAUUUGAAUUUUAAGAAUCACAGAAUUGCAAAAUAGGCUCACUGAUCUGGGGAAAUUUCACAGAGGGCAUGGGAAGGCCAUUGGAGAGACAAGUGGAGUGGCGUUGUUAUGUCUGGGUGUCCACUUGGGGUCCAGGUUCUUGGGGAUGUGAAAAAAGAAUUGAGCAAGACACACAGAAGGAAUAAGCCAAGUGCACUUCAUGGAGGGGAAGGCGGAAGUAGCACUCCAUAAGGCAGGUACAGCGGCCCACAGGGGCUCAUGGCCCCAGGUCCAGAAACCCUGGUCUUAUAUGCUCUUUUCCCUGUGAGGACAGAAUUGAAGACCUUAUCCCAUCUGCUCCCACUGGUUACCUUGUGAUGCCUGAUUACAAGUGUCCGGUUUCUGAAUACCCAACCUGUGGCAGGAAGUGUCACAACCAUAGGACUUGUAAACAGGGACAUGACUCACCUCCAGCUUGUACCCUGCCUCUGCCAUCUUGGAGUCCUGCUUCAGUAUCUGGGAUUUAUCUUUACUGAGCCAGAUGGAGGGUCUGGGGUCAGUGGUCGGUAUCUGGGAAAGGAUUUGUCUAGGGAAGGAUCAAUGCUUUGGCCUCUUCCCAGAGACUGUCAUUUCAGACUCGAUGGAUAUCUCCUCCUGGGGACCUGUCUUGUCACUGGGGAAGAUUGUACUAGGAAAGGAUCAAUGUAUUGCCUUCUGCCUCAUUCCCUGUCCCUGGGCCAUACUGGUUGGAUUUUGUCAUUUUCCAUAUCCAACACAUAAAUAAAAG